UUGUAGGGAACUGAAAGGGACCGACCCUUCGGGAGCCUAUACAGGUGUUGCAUUGGCUGUCGUCAGCUCGUGUCGUGAGAUGUUCGGUUAAGUCCGCUAACGAGCGCAACCCUCGUCGUAUGUUAUAUGUGUCAUACGAGACUGCCGGUAAAAAGCCGGAGGAAGGUGAGGAUGAUGUCAAGUCAGCAUGACCUUUAUAUCCAGGGCUACACACACGCUACAAUGGUCUGUACAAUGGGUAGCCAAGCCGCGAGGCGGAGCCAAUCCUGAAAGCAGGCCUCAGUUCAGAUUGCAGUCUGCAACUCGACUGCAUGAAGCCGGAGUUGCUAGUAACCGCAGGUCAGCAAUACUGCGGUGAAUACGUUCCCGGGUCUU
Molecule: ribosomal RNA, 375 nt
Filed under: uncultured Anaerolineaceae bacterium
Lineage: Bacteria; Bacillati; Chloroflexota; Anaerolineae; Anaerolineales; Anaerolineaceae
Description: bacterial SSU rRNA
Rfam family: Bacterial small subunit ribosomal RNA
Source: RNAcentral